UACGUAGGGUGCGAGCGUUGUCCGGAAUUAUUGGGCGUAAAGAGCUUGUAGGCGGUCUGUCGCGUCUGCUGUGAAAAUCCGGGGCUCAACCCCGGACUUGCAGUGGGUACGGGCAGACUAGAGUGUGGUAGGGGAGACUGGAAUUCCUGGUGUAGCGGUGAAAUGCGCAGAUAUCAGGAGGAACACCGAUGGCGAAAGGCAGGUCUCUGGGC
RNAcentral lists this ribosomal RNA (212 nucleotides) under uncultured bacterium. RNAcentral describes it as "partial 16S ribosomal RNA". It matches the Rfam family "Bacterial small subunit ribosomal RNA", at positions 524 to 734 of the family's 1533-position model. The record is from RNAcentral.